CCAAUAGCGUAUAUUAAAGUUGUUGCAGUUAAAAAGCUCGUAGUUGAAUUUCGGGAUCAAUACGUCGGUCGUGCCUCUGGUACGUACUGGUGUUAUUGAUUUCUCCCUUCUGAUGAACCAUGAUGUCAUUCAUUUGGUGUUGUGUGGAGUCAGGACUGUUACUUUGAAAAAAUUAGAGUGUUUAAAGCAGGCUCACGCUUGAAUACAUUAGCAUGGAAUAAUGAAAUAGGACGUUCGAUCCUAUUUUGUUGGUUUCUAGGAUCAACGUAAUGAUUAAUAGGGAUAGUUGGGGGCAUUAGUAUUCAAUUGUCAGAGGUGAAAUUCUUGGAUUUAUUGAAGACUAACUACUGCGAAAGCAUUUGCCAAGGAUGUUUUCAUUAAUCAAGAACGAAAGUUAGGGGAUCGAAGACGAUCAGAUACCGUCGUAGUCUUAACCAUAAACUAUGCCGACUAGGGAUCGGAUGAUGUUAAUUUUUUAAUGACUCAUUCGGCGCCUUACG
This 500-nucleotide ribosomal RNA is filed under the name uncultured Glomeromycotina. RNAcentral describes it as "partial small subunit ribosomal RNA". It matches the Rfam family "Eukaryotic small subunit ribosomal RNA", at positions 591 to 1092 of the family's 1831-position model. Lineage: Eukaryota; Fungi; Glomeromycota. The record is from RNAcentral.